RNAcentral lists this ribosomal RNA (425 nucleotides) under uncultured bacterium. Its description in RNAcentral is "bacterial SSU rRNA". It matches the Rfam family "Bacterial small subunit ribosomal RNA", at positions 354 to 796 of the family's 1533-position model. The record is from RNAcentral.
GUGGGGAAUAUUGCACAAUGGGCGAAAGCCUGAUGCAGCAACGCCGCGUGAGCGAUGAAGGUCUUCGGAUCGUAAAGCUCUGUCCUCAAGGAAGAAUUUUGACGGUACUUGAGGAGGAAGCCCCGGCUAACUACGUGCCAGCAGCCGCGGUAAUACGUAGGGGGCUAGCGUUAUCCGGAAUUAUUGGGCGUAAAGGGUGCGUAGGCGGUCCUACAAGUCAGAGGUGAAAGGCUACGGCUCAACCGUAGUAAGCCUUUGAAACUGUAGGACUUGAGUGCAGGAGAGGAGAGUGGAAUUCCCAGUGUAGCGGUGAAAUGCGUAGAUAUUGGGAGGAACACCAGUUGCGAAGGCGGCUCUCUGGACUGUAACUGACGCUGAGGCACGAAAGCGUGGGGAGCGAACAGGAUUAGAAACCCGAGUAGUCC